AACGAACGCUGGCGGCAGGCCUCAAACAUGCAAGUCUAGGGGUGUAGCAAUACUGGCGGCGACCGGCGCACGGGUGCGUAACACGUAUGCAACCUACCUUCAACUGGAGGAUAGCCCGGGGAAACUCGGAUUAAUACUCCAUAACACAGGGAUCCCGCAUGGGAAUAUUGUUAAAGCUACGGCGGUUGAAGAUGGGCAUGCGUUCGAUUAGCUAGUUGGUGUAGGUAACGGCUCACCAAGGCUACGAUCGAUAGGGGGUCUGAGAGGAUGAUCCCCACACUGGUACUGAGAUACGGACCAGACUCCUACGGGAGCAGCAGUGGGAAUAUUGGUCAAUGGGCGCAAGCCUGAACCAGCCAUGCCGCGUGCAGGAAGAAGGCCCUCUGGGUUGUAAACUGCUUUUGAUAGGGAACAAAUGCCACUUGCGAGUGGAGCUGAGUGUACCUAUAGAAUAAGCACCGGCUAAACUCCGUGCCAGCAGCCGCGGU
RNAcentral lists this ribosomal RNA (488 nucleotides) under uncultured bacterium. RNAcentral describes it as "bacterial SSU rRNA". It matches the Rfam family "Bacterial small subunit ribosomal RNA", at positions 29 to 521 of the family's 1533-position model. The record is from RNAcentral.